RNAcentral lists this ribosomal RNA (478 nucleotides) under uncultured bacterium. RNAcentral describes it as "partial 16S ribosomal RNA". It matches the Rfam family "Bacterial small subunit ribosomal RNA", at positions 28 to 523 of the family's 1533-position model. The record is from RNAcentral.
GACGAACGCUGGCGGCGUGCUUAACACAUGCAAGUCGAACGGUAAGGCUCUUCGGGGUACACGAGUGGCGAACGGGUGAGUAACACGUGGGUGAUCUGCCCUGCACUUCGGGAUAAGCCUGGGAAACUGGGUCUAAUACCGGAUAGGACCCUGGGAUGCAUGUCCUGGGGUGGAAAGCUUUUGCGGUGUGGGAUGGGCCCGCGGCCUAUCAGCUUGUUGGUGGGGUGAUGGCCUACCAAGGCGACGCGGGGUAGCCGGCCUGAGAGGGUGACCGGCCACACGGGGACUGAGAUACGGCCCAGACUCCUACGGGAGGCAGCAGUGGGGAAUAUUGCACAAUGGGCGCAAGCCUGAUGCAGCGACGCCGCGUGAGGGAUGACGGCCUUCGGGUUGUAAACCUCUUUCAGCACCGACGAAGCGCAAGUGACGGUAGGUGCAGAGGAAGGACCGGCCAACUACGUGCCAGCCGCCGCGGUAA